GAANUNUCNNCUGCGGAGGGACAUUACCGAGUUAUACAACUCAUCAACCCUGUGAACAUACCUAAAACGUUGCUUCGGCGGGAACAGACGGCCCUGUAACAACGGGCCGCCCCCGCCAGAGGACCCCUAACUCUGUUUUUAUAAUGUUUUUCUGAGUAAACAAGCAAAUAAAUUAAAACUUUCAACAACGGAUCUCUUGGCUCUGGCAUCGAUGAAGAACGCAGCGAAAUGCGAUAAGUAAUGUGAAUUGCAGAAUUCAGUGAAUCAUCGAAUCUUUGAACGCACAUUGCGCCCGCCAGUAUUCUGGCGGGCAUGCCUGUUCGAGCGUCAUUACAACCCUCAGGCCCCCGGGCCUGGCGUUGGGGAUCGGCGGAAGCCCCCUGUGGGCACACGCCGUCCCUCAAAUACAGUGGCGGUCCCGCCGCAGCUUCCAUUGCGUAGUAGCUAACACCUCGCAACUGGAGAGCGGCGCGGCCAUGCCGUAAAACACCCAACUUCUGAAUGUUGACCUCGAAUCAGGUAGGAAUACCCGCUGAACUUAAGCAUAUCAAAA
RNAcentral lists this ribosomal RNA (553 nucleotides) under Fusarium solani. Its description in RNAcentral is "eukaryotic LSU rRNA". The stretch from base 177 to 330 matches the Rfam family "5.8S ribosomal RNA". The record is from RNAcentral. Lineage: Eukaryota; Fungi; Ascomycota; Sordariomycetes; Hypocreales; Nectriaceae.